Molecule: non-coding RNA, 45 nt
Organism: Schistosoma mattheei
Lineage: Eukaryota; Metazoa; Platyhelminthes; Trematoda; Strigeidida; Schistosomatidae
Source: Rfam
ACCCAGCUGACGAGUCAUAAAUGGGAUGAAAUGCGCAUCUUGGAU